CAGUAGCCGCGGUAAAACGGAGGGGGCUAGCGUUGUUCGGAAUUACUGGGCGUAAAGCGCACGUAGGCGGCUUGGUAAGUUAGAGGUGAAAGCCCGGAGCUCAACUCCGGAAUUGCCUUUAAGACUGCCGAGCUAGUAGGUGAGAGAGGUAAGUGGAAUUCCGAGUGUAGAGGUGAAAUUCGUAGAUAUUCGGAAGAACACCAGUGGCGAAGGCGGCUUACUGGCUCAUUCUAGACGCUGAGGUGCGAAAGCGUGGGGAGCAAACAGGAUUAGAUACCCGCGUAGUCCCUGUCUCUUAUAC
Molecule: ribosomal RNA, 301 nt
Filed under: uncultured bacterium
Lineage: Bacteria
Description: partial 16S ribosomal RNA
Rfam family: Bacterial small subunit ribosomal RNA
Source: RNAcentral